GAUCAUGGCUCAGGGUGAACGCUAGCUACAGGCUUAACACAUGCAAGUCGAGGGGCAGCGGGGUUGAAGCUUGCUUCAAUUGCCGGCGACCGGCGCACGGGUGAGUAACGCGUAUCCAACCUUCCGUACACUCAGGGAUAGCCUUUCGAAAGAAAGAUUAAUACCUGAUGGUAUGAUGAGAUUGCAUGAUAGCAUCAUUAAAGAUUCAUCGGUGUACGAUGGGG
Molecule: ribosomal RNA, 224 nt
Filed under: uncultured bacterium
Lineage: Bacteria
Description: partial 16S ribosomal RNA
Rfam family: Bacterial small subunit ribosomal RNA
Source: RNAcentral